Molecule: long non-coding RNA, 98 nt
Organism: Toxotes jaculatrix (banded archerfish)
Lineage: Eukaryota; Metazoa; Chordata; Actinopteri; Toxotidae
Exons: 3
Source: RefSeq, a predicted model, not a curated record
CUACAGCCACAAUCCGUUGGAUUAGUUUAGCAUAAAGACUGCAAACAGGGGGAAACAGAUAGCCUAGCUCUGUUCAAAGAUGUAAAUAAAUCUACCUU